UGGCUUCGGCUAUCACUUCUGGAUGAUCCCGCGGCGUAUUAGUUAGUUGGUGAGGUAAAGGCCCACCAAGACAAUGAUACGUAGCCGACCUGAGAGGGUAAUCGGCCACAUUGGGACUGAGACACGGCCCAAACUCCUACGGGAGGCAGCAGUAGGGAAUCUUCCACAAUGGACGAAAGUCUGAUGGAGCAAUGCCGCGUGAGUGAAGAAGGGUUUCGGCUCGUAAAACUCUGUUGUUAAAGAAGAACACCUUUGAGAGUAACUGUUCAAGGGUUGACGGUAUUUAACCAGAAAGCCACGGCUAACUACGUGCCAGCAGCCGCGGUAAUACGUAGGUGGCAAGCGUUGUCCGGAUUUAUUGGGCGUAAAGCGAGCACAGGCGGUUUUUUAAGUCUGAUGUGAAAGCCUUCGGCUUAACCGGAGAAGUGCAUCGGAAACUGGGAGACUUGAGUGCAGAAGAGGACAGUGGAACUCCAUGUGUAGCGGUGGAAUGCGUAGAUAUAUGGAAGAACACCAGUGGCGAAGGCGGCUGUCUAGUCUGUAACUGACGCUGAGGCUCGAAAGCAUGGGUAGCGAACAGGAUUAGAUACCCUGGUAGUCCAUGCCGUAAACGAUGAGUGUUAAGUGUUGGAGGGUUUCCGCCCUUCAGUGCUGCAGCUAACGCAUUAAGCAAUCCGCCUGGGGAGUACGACCGCAAGGUUGAAACUCAAAGGAAUUGACGGGGGCCCGCACAAGCGGUGGAGCAUGUGGUUUAAUUUGAAGCUACGGGAAGAACCUUACCAGGUCUUGACAUCUUUUGCCAAUCUUAGAGAUAAGACGUUCCCUUCGGGGACAGAAUGACAGGUGGUGCAUGGUUGUAGUCAGUUUGUGUCGUGAGAUGUUGGGUUAAGUCCCGCAACGAGCGCAACCCUUAUUAUCAGUUGCCAGCAUUCAGUUGGGCACUCUGGUGAGACUGCCGGGGGCAAACCGGAGGAAGAUGGGGAUGACGUCAAAUCAUCAUGCCCCUUAUGACCUGGGCUACACACGUGCUACAAUGGACGGUACAACGAGUCGCGAAGUCGUGAGGCUAAGCUAAUCUCUUAAA
This 1084-nucleotide ribosomal RNA is filed under the name Levilactobacillus brevis. RNAcentral's name for it is "bacterial SSU rRNA". It matches the Rfam family "Bacterial small subunit ribosomal RNA", at positions 208 to 1280 of the family's 1533-position model. Lineage: Bacteria; Bacillati; Bacillota; Bacilli; Lactobacillales; Lactobacillaceae. The record is from RNAcentral.